CUACGGGAGGCUCCAGUGGGGAAUAUUGCACAAUGGGCGCAAGCCUGAUGCAGCCAUGCCGCGUGUAUGAAGAAGGCCUUCGGGUUGUAAAGUACUUUCAGCGGGGAGGAAGGGAGUAAAGUUAAUACCUUUGCUCAUUGACGUUACCCGCAGAAGAAGCACCGGCUAACUCCGUGCCAGCAGCCGCGGUAAUACGGAGGGUGCAAGCGUUAAUCGGAAUUACUGGGCGUAAAGCGCACGCAGGCGGUUUGUUAAGUCAGAUGUGAAAUCCCCGGGCUCAACCUGGGAACUGCAUCUGAUACUGGCAAGCUUGAGUCUCGUAGAGGGGGGUAGAAUUCCAGGUGUAGCGGUGAAAUGCGUAGAGAUCUGGAGGAAUACCGGUGGCGAAGGCGGCCCCCUGGGCGAAGACUGACGCUCAGGUGCGAAAGCGUGGGGAGCAAACAGGAUUAGAUACCCCGGUAGUC
RNAcentral lists this ribosomal RNA (464 nucleotides) under uncultured bacterium. RNAcentral describes it as "partial 16S ribosomal RNA". It matches the Rfam family "Bacterial small subunit ribosomal RNA", at positions 339 to 795 of the family's 1533-position model. The record is from RNAcentral.